This 446-nucleotide ribosomal RNA is filed under the name uncultured bacterium. RNAcentral describes it as "partial 16S ribosomal RNA". It matches the Rfam family "Bacterial small subunit ribosomal RNA", at positions 338 to 795 of the family's 1533-position model. The record is from RNAcentral.
CCUACGGGAGGCUGCAGUCGAGAAUCAUUCACAAUGGGGGAAACCCUGAUGGUGCGACGCCGCGUGGGGGAAUGAAGGUCUUCGGAUUGUAAACCCCUGUCAUGUGGGAGCAAAUUAAAAAGAUAGUACCACAAGAGGAAGAGACGGCUAACUCUGUGCCAGCAGCCGCGGUAAUACAGAGGUCUCAAGCGUUGUUCGGAAUCACUGGGCGUAAAGCGUGCGUAGGCUGUUUCGUAAGUCGUGUGUGAAAGGCGCGGGCUCAACCCGCGGACGGCACAUGAUACUGCGAGACUAGAGUGAUGGAGGGGAAAGCGGAAUUCUCGGUGUAGCAGUGAAAUGCGUAGAUAUCGAGAGGAACACUCGUGGCGAAGGCGGGUUCCUGGACAUUAACUGACGCUGAUGCACGAAGGCCAGGGGAGCGAAAGGGAUUAGAUACCCUUGUAGUC